GCCGGCGACCGGCAAACGGGUGCGGAACACGUACGCAACCUUCCUCAGAGCGGGGAAUAGCCUCUCGAAAGAGAGAUUAAUACCCCAUAGUAUCCCGAAUCUGCAUGGAUUUGGGAUUAAAGCUCCGGCACUUUGAGAUGGGCGUGCGGCUGAUUAGGUAGUUGGUAGGGUAACGGCCUACCAAGCCGACGAUCAGUAGCUGAUGUGAGAGCAUGAUCAGCCACACGGGCACUGAGACACGGGCCCGACUCCUACGGGAGGCAGCAGUGAGGAAUAUUGGUCAAUGGAGGCAACUCUGAACCAGCCAUGCCGCGUGAAGGAUGAAGGUCCUCUGGAUUGUAAACUUCUUUUAUAGAAGAAGAAACCCCAGUAUUCUUAUUGGGUUGACGGUACUCUAUGAAUAAGCACCGGCUAACUCCGUGCCAGCAGCCGCGGUAAUACGGAGGGUGCAAGCGUUAUCCGGAUUCACUGGGUUUAAAGGGAGCGUAGGUGGGUCGGUAAGUCAGUGGUGAAAUCCCCGAGCUUAACUUGGGAACUGCCAUUGAUACUAUCGAUCUUGAAUUCUGUGGAGGUAAGCGGAAUAUAUCAUGUAGCGGUGAAAUGCUUAGAUAUGAUAUAGAACACCGAUAGCGAAGGCAGCUUACUACGCAGACAUUGACACUGAGGCUCGAAAGCGUGGGGAUCAAACAGGAUUAGAUACCCUGGUAGUCCACACCCUAAACUAUGGAUACUCGACAUCAGCGAUACACUGUUGGUGUCUGAGCGA
RNAcentral lists this ribosomal RNA (766 nucleotides) under uncultured Bacteroidota bacterium. Its description in RNAcentral is "bacterial SSU rRNA". It matches the Rfam family "Bacterial small subunit ribosomal RNA", at positions 87 to 854 of the family's 1533-position model. Lineage: Bacteria; Pseudomonadati; Bacteroidota. The record is from RNAcentral.